Molecule: long non-coding RNA, 485 nt
Filed under: Brassica rapa (field mustard)
Lineage: Eukaryota; Viridiplantae; Streptophyta; Magnoliopsida; Brassicales; Brassicaceae
Description: long non-coding RNA (BRAP_LNC006462)
Source: RNAcentral
UUUCGUUAUAGUUUGGCUUUGAAUGGAAGUACAAUACAAAUGCUGAUUUAAAAUUUUGAAUGCAAAACAAAAUUAAAUUAUAAAAGAAUAAAUGAUCUGGACGAAAAUUAAUGCUAGUAGUCUAGUACUAAUUUCUUUGAUUUGCAGAGAAAAAAAAGAUGCUAAGAGCAUGAGAGUGGUUAAUUUUGUGAGUGUCUCAUAAUUUAAAAUAAUAAUAAAAAAAUGUAAAUGCAAAGCAAGAAAAAGGAAGAAAAUCGAUUUAAAAAAAAAAGACUCAAAUCUCUUCACGAGAGACUAUUCUUCAUGUGUCAACUUCUAAAUGCUUAAAUUACUUAAAAGAUAAAGAAAGAUAAUUAAAUAAUUAAAAAAAUAUAUAUAUUACCUUUGUUGAGAGACUCAACCAACAUAUACUGUUACUGAUGCUCUAAUCACAUGUAUGCAGAUUUAAUAUUUUUACUCUCUGUUGAUUAUUUAGAAUGAGUUUU